This is a microRNA precursor of Equus caballus (horse), 133 nucleotides long. NCBI's taxonomy places the organism in Eukaryota, Metazoa, Chordata, Mammalia, Perissodactyla, Equidae. The record is from Ensembl.
UGUGAAAAGGCGGGAAACAGGCGACGCUCGAGGCUCGCGCAUGCGCACACAGUCAACUGCGUCUCGGGCGCCUGAGGGGAAGCGGCCUGGUCUGUGGCGGCGCUGUGGAGAGGGCGUCCCUCGAGCCUGGGUU